UCUCUUUCAAGUUGGUGCUAUUUAGCUUUCCGGACAAGAAUUGUAGUGUGCUGUUGUCGGGUUAAUAUAUAUUUGUGUUUUCGUGAUAUAAAUUUAGUUUCGGAAUGUACUAUUUUAUAAUUUGGUUUGAUUGUUGGUAAUUUUAUGGUGUUCUCUAUAUAUGUUAUGGGCUUGAAAAAGAUUGUUUGGUUUGAAUAAACAAAAUGUUGCUACUUUUUUAAUACGGAUAUUAGAGGGUACAUUAAUUUUUAAGUAAAUCUCACGUAGAGUUUAUUACUAGCUAGUAUAUAUGCAUUGUGUUACGAACUUGUUUAAAAUCAGAUGCUGUUUUUGGCAUGCAAGUUGAAGCUAGUAUAUAUGUAUGUACCGCAGUUGAGAGGGUUAAUUUCCAUCUAUGUUUACUUUAAUUUAUCUUUUCUUUUAUUUGAUUAGAUCCGAAUUAAGCCGAUAAAUUUUAAAGUAUUAAAAGUUUUAUUAUUUUGCUUUCUGCAAGAUUUUUAGUUUUUAAAUUCNUGAAGUACUAAAAUUUUAUUAAUUUUCUUUUCGCAAGAUUUUUAGUUUUUAAUUCCCCAAAUUCGAAAUCAAUUUAUUACUAAAAUCAAACUUGAGGUGCUUUUCCCAUUUGGUUUUCACGAAACGUGUGGUUUAAAUGGGAAUAUAGAUUUAUGUUGCCGCACAAUUUAAUUUAUUUGAUUUAAGCGAUUUGAUUACUUUUUUAAUAUAAAAUUUAGAAUAAUUAUUUAUUUCAAUAAAUUUAUAUUUGCAUAAUUAAAAAUAUAUUUAAAAUUUUAAAGUCAAAGAGUCAUUAGUUGAUUUAAAUCAAAUAAAUUAAAAGAUUAUAUAGCAAAAUUAAAAUUUUUAAAGAUUAGAUAAUCAGAUUAAAAGAACUGACAGUCGGGGCGAGUUAUAUAAAUUUUUGACUUUUUUAUCCAAGAAAUCUGGAAAAUUAAAAGAGGUAUUUACUUCAAAAUAUGUUAAACUAUUAUUAUUAUUAUUAUUAUUAUUAUUUUACCAUAAAGCAUUUUCGAGAACCUAACAUUUGGGACCAACCGUAAAAAUAAUAAGAAAAAUUGUGCGAAAUUAACUGAAAAUUUAUUUUAUUGAAAAUCUCACCGUGAAUUUUUUUUUUUAUUGUCUAUUCUUUCUGAUUUGAGUUUGCUUUUCUUCUUCUUUUUUUUUGGGAAAAUGCAGUAUGCAUAAUUGAUCCUUGAUUUAUACUAUAGUUUCAGCUUAACAACUGGAAAAAAAAAUGCUAUAAAAAUUAAAUAUGUGGAUAAAAUAUUAAGGUAUCGCAUAAAUAUAACCGCAUAGUUCUUCAAUAACAAUUAAGCACAAUUUUAUAGCUUCGGACGAGAAAAGAUUAGAAGCAGUUUUAAAAUUUUUGGACCUUUCAAAAUAUGAAAAUGUUGCUUCUUACCACUACGUUCCUAAAGAAAGUUGGGUUAGUUGCAAUUUUUUAUACUUACGAAUUAAAUGAAUGAAAUACAAUAAAAAGAAAAUAUUAAGGAUGAAUAAAACCUUGGUGCAUCACCUGUUUGGAUGCACCAGGUGUAGGCAGUGAUUUUUCAUAAAACGAAAUCGUAAAGCGUUAAAGAAUAGGUAGUCAAAUUAAUUUAAAUUUUUAAAUAUUAGAUAAUUAAUUUCAAAUUAUAAAAGUUCAGAUUAAUUAAGUACAUUUUUAUACCCAAAAAUUAAACACAGCAACAACAACAACAACAUGACCACUGCAAAGAGGGGUCUUUCUUUCUCAUAAAGAACAGGGCAUCCCGUGCACCAAGAUACGAAUUUGGUUGAUCAAGAGAGAAAAUUUUGGCUCUCCAAUAGAUAGAACAAAAACUUGCUGCAUACAAUUGUGGAGCAAAGCCUUUUUUAAAAUAAAAAAGGUGAUAAAACCUUAAUUAGCAAGAGAUGUUUUAUGUACGAAAUUAUUUUUAUUUUUAUUUUUUAAGAGAUAGGUAGCACGCCACCUACUUCGUUUAUUUCAUUUAGAAAUAAACUUAGCUGAAAAUAUGAAUCAACUAGGAUUCGAACUUGGGUCUCGGGUACUAACCACUAAGCCCUUUGCCACUUGCUUUAGGAACGGUCGGUUAUGUACGAUAAAUUAACAAGUGCAUUUAUGUAUGGUAACUUGGUAACGGUUAUACCUUCCUACUUGUACUGUUUGGAUUCAUUAGUGAUAUUUGCAGUUUGUUAUGAAUGCAUUAAGCAGUGCAAUGUGUACGUAUGCUUCAAAAGCUAGGUGUUUCGCCAAAUAAUUAAUCGAAUGGUUUAAGCUAGGUGUGUUGCCCAAAGAUUCAAAUAAAUGGUUCAAGUUAGGGGUUUUUUAAAAAAAUUCUUGUUAAGUAUUGGAUGGAUCUUUGCUUCAAUCUGAGCAGUUUUGGAGUUAACAGCUUGUUUUGGAUACUCUCUAAUACUAUUUUUUGAAAUAGAGUUGUUACUGUUAAGUGUUAAAUAUAAAAAUGUUUAAAUACCGUUUUCUAACAAUUUAAGCUUUUAGAGUACAACGGUUAUUUCACAUGGUAUCAGAGCAGGAGGUUCUAAGUUCGAGUCACGCUAGGCUCCUAGCAUAUUAAUUUUCUUCCAUUUAAUUCAAGCCCACGUCAUGGGCCGAUUAAAAAGUUUUGAGCCCAGACGUGAGGGGGAGUGUUAAGUGUUAAAUAUAAAAAUGUUUAAACACCGUUCUCUAAGUACAACGGUUGUUUCACAGUUACUACAGUUACUCCUCUUGUUGAUGUACUGCAGUACUGGGUGAUGCUACUGGUGUCUUUGAAUGAUGAGUUUAGACCAAUAGCAGCUAAGUUAAAAAUUGAAACAGUUUCAAUCUUAAAACUUCUAAAUAAUAAUAGUAUUUAAGAUUGCUUUUAGUUUUAGCUCAGCAUCUAAAUUGUUCUCCAGCAAUCCAUACAUAUUUGCCUUUUGAUGUAGAAUCAUUGGGCAUACACUUCACAGUUUAAGAAAAGCUGCAUAAUAGAAAAGCUGCAAAAUCAUAAAUAGAAUGAGUGCAUAAAUAGAAGAGAAUUAAUUAAUAACAUUGAUGUCUAAAACAAAUUUCUCCUUCAUGAAGUUUUGAGUCAUCAUCCUACUUGCUUCAUUUCUCUCGCUGCCAUCAACAUGCAUCUUGGAUGCAUUAGGAUUUACUUAAAGUGACAACAAAAGUGAACAAAAACCAAAGCAAAAUAAAAAAGCAAAAUAAAGGAGUAGCAACAAAUAAAAACAAUAAACUCUGAAAGGCAUUAACAUAGAUUGAAGCCAAAUGCACAGCUAAACAAGUAGCGUGGGUCAGUCCAUAAAAAUCUCUAGAUGCUGCAUGUAGUCCUCUAAAUCUUGCAAUUUAUCUGAAAUAAAAAGAGAUGCAUCAUGUGCAGAAGUAUGUAACACUAAGGAUUGCAGAUGUAGGCGAUCUGAUCAUGAGCAACUACAAACUAUGGCUGGCACACAUUUAUUUAAUUAUAUUUUACUUGUUCACUAAGCGGAGAGCCAGCUCAGCCACCAUGAUCAUUGCUCUCUUUUACGAAGUGGGGCGUGUGAAAUUGCCCCACUCUACUUUUAUUUUUUUCACUUAUAUUUAUUUGUCUCAAUUAGAUCUCUAUAUUAAUAACAAUGUUAUUUUCUUUUUUGUUUUAAACCUAUGUUAAGACCAUCAAGAGUUGAGUAGCAGUUGAGAUCUAUGGCAAUGGUGACAACAAUGAAAAACAAAUGAGCUGUUGUCUCUAAUAAUAUAAUGAGAAUGCCAAUUUAAUUUUAAUUUGAAUCCGUAAAUUUAAAUUUUAAUUUGAAUCCAUAAAUUUAAUUUAAGUUUGAAAUAAAAUUUCAAUAAAAUNCAGUAAGUCUAUUGAUCUGUCGUAGAGAAAGAGUUGUUAUUUAAUUUAUGAAGAAAUAUAACUUCAAAAUAAGAAAUACGACUGGUGCAUUCAAAAGUAGAGUGUAAAUCUAAGAUUUAUCCUCAAUAUGAAAUUUGUUUAAAAUCUCAUCUUAGCAUCCUUUCAGUGUAAGGACUAGUUUACUGGAAUAGGCUUUGGCAUCCUACCUAAUUCCAUAUAACGUUUUGAUUCUGGUGGUCGCAGUAGGGUAAAUUUGAAUUUAUCAAAUCAACUUAUCAUGACACAUAACUUCUCUUUGCUUUUCCUUUUUUGUUUUUCCUUUUCUUUUUGGAUAAAAGCCUUCCCAUGCUUGUAUGCAAGAGAUUAUAACGGGAUUGCUUAUGAAUAUAAGAGAAGAUUGAUGUUUAUUUUUUGAAAUUUGUUGUUUGUCUGACGAUCCUGAUUAAAUAAUAUGAAGUACAUAUCUCUGUUUCUUACAUUUAUUUGAUCUUUAUAUACGUUUCAUUUUGGUCCUCAAACUUUCAAGUUCCGAGACUAUGAACUCUUAAAAUAUUUUGCACAUCUACCGUUAGAUGGUAAUUUAUUGCCUAAACCUAAUAUACGUGUACUACAUAUUUGUAUACUUAUUUAUCGACUCUGUACUGUUAUGUUAUUUCUACAUUGCCGCUUGUAGAUUUACAAUUUUUUUUUUUUAAUUUAGAAAUUAGAGUAUUGAAUUGAAAGUAUGAGAUGAGAGAUGGGUUGAUGAAUUUGUGGUGCACAAACAUGCCGGUAACAUUUUCCAAGGUAUCGCUGUUCAUUAUUUUGAGGAAUAAUAUAUUUUAUUAUGAGAUAAUUUAUCUUUCCGUGAAAAAAUUGAAUUUUAGGCUAAAUAUUUUAUCCAUUCUAGGAGUUUUCUUAUACUCCUCACAGUAUGAAAUAAUUGCACAAAGCUAGAGUUUCUAUUUUGCACAAACUUAAAUUAACCCCUCCUAUGAUUUACUGUAUUUUUUUAAUUCUGCAAUCGUGCGACUUAGAAGUUUUAUUUUGCUAUCCCAUAGUUUUGUCUUUGUUCUACCGUAACAAUUUGUCAUUAAAUAGAAUAGUAAUGUAAGAUUAUUGUAAAUUAUAAUAAUAAUAUGGUUUGUAAAUUAUAAUAAUUUAGUUACAUGUGGUUUAUAAGUUACACUAUUUUCGCAACUAAUUCAACUGAAGGGCCUUAUAGUGAUAAAAAAAAAAUUAAAAAUUUAAAAACAAGGGCAAUAUGUCAAAGCCAAAGUUUUUUUAACCACAUAUUGAAAAAGUGAAAAUAUGCUAAUUUAUAGGGGGCUAAUUAGAAGUUUAUUACAUCCUCUUUUAUAGCGCUAUUCCAUCCAAAGGCCUACAUUUUCACACUAAUUUUAUCAAUUUUUUCUUUGUUCAUAUUAAAAACUUAAAAGUAUUGUGUAAUUUUUUAAAUAUGUGAGUAUAAGAUUUACACUGCACUUUUGAGUGGGUAUAAUAUAUAAAAAGAAUAAAAGCUAAAUCUUAAAAUUCAUCCGUUGACUUAUCAUCCACAUUAUCAGUCAAAAUUUUUAUUUGGACAAGAGUGAUUUUUCAAUCUCUUUUUUUAUUACAUUUGUCACCUAAACAAUUUCAAUAGCAUUUGGAGGUACCAUCUGGAUUUAGGGUUGAGGGUUUGUUCGUAAACUUCGAUUGGCGAAAGUGGUAGCAACGUGCAUGUACUAAAUUGCAUAAGAGUAAAGUCGCAAAAACGUAAAGAGAAUCGGUUCACAAAUAGAAGACGAUUUUAAUUAAUAGCAUUGAUGUCUAAAAAAAAAUUUCUCCUUCAUAAAGUUUUGAGUCAUCAUCCUACUCGCUUUCUUCAUUAAUUACCAUCGCCGCCAUCAACAUGCAUCUUUGAUGCAUCAGGAUUUACCUGAAGUGAAAAGUCCUCCUUUAAGGGACCUUGCAAAAAAAAAAAAAAAAAAAAAAGAAGGUCCCCCUCCUCCUUAAACAUCUUCGUUGCGGUUUUAUUCGUUUCCUCCUUUCCAAGCACGAGAGAGGGGGAAAAAAAAAACCAACAAAGGGAGCUUGCUUCUCUGCCUCUUUAUCCGAAAAUAUUUUUAUAAAUUGUACAAUUGGGUAAAGAUUGAUCAUUGACCCAUGGGGUGUAUUUCACUAGUUACAUUGAUGUUAUUAGUAAAAUACACUUUAUUUUUAAAUAGAUGGGGUGUAUAUUCUAUACCCAAUGAAUGUAUAAGUAAGAGUUUUAAAAAAAAAACAAAAAAAAAGAGUAAAAAAAAAAAAGCAUUGGCGCGUGCGUUCCGGCCCCCACCAUAAUUAUUGGAGACACAGCACAAUAAUUGGAGCAAUCAUCUUCCACUGGUGGAGGAGCAUCCCCUUAUCAUCCUCUGCUUCUCUGUAGUAGGACGUUCGUAUUGAGAAGGAUUAGGCAGCAGCACGCGCGCGCGAUGGNAAAGCAUUGGCGCGUGCGUUCCGGCCCCCACCAUAAUUAUUGGAGACACAGCACAAUAAUUGGAGCAAUCAUCUUCCACUGGUGGAGGAGCAUCCCCUUAUCAUCCUCUGCUUCUCUGUAGUAGGACGUUCGUAUUGAGAAGGAUUAGGCAGCAGCACGCGCGAGCGAUGGCGGAGGGGAUCGCAUUCGACUUGGUCGAAGGAGUGCUGGGCAAGCUGGGCUCCGCUCUCUGGGACGAAAUCGGGCUGCUGCGGAGCUUCAAGGACGACGCGGACGACCUCAGAAGCAACUUCUCGGCGAUCCAGGCGGUGCUUCUCGACGCCGAGGAGCGAAGCAGCCCUGGGAAGGAGACCCACGCUCUGCGCGACUGGCUGCGCAAACUGAAGGACGCCGCCUACGACGCCGACGGCCUGCUGGACGAGAUCCGGACGCAAGCGGCCCUCCGGCAACAACAGCAUCCGGAGGUGCAGAAUCAAAACCAGCCAGCUGAAAAGGUACGUGAAUUCCUGUCCCACGCUAAUCCGAUGCGUCUGAAGUUUAAGGUCAAGAUGGCACACAGGAUGAAAGAGCUCAGAGAGAAGAUCGGUAAGAUCGCGAAACAGAGGCAUGAUUUCGGUCUUGCCGAAGCUGACCCUCUUCGACAGGCUGAGUUCAAGCGCCCUGAGACAUUCUCGGUUGUCGACGAAAAGACAAUAGUCGGGAGAGAUGGUGAUAAAGAGGAAAUUGUGAAGCUUCUCCUAGAGACUAACAGCGAUCACGACGUGUCGGUCAUUCCGAUCGUGGGAUUGGGGGGUUUGGGGAAGACGACGCUUGCUCAGCUGGCCUACAACGACGAGCGGGUUACGGACGAGUUGGUUAUGGGCCAGCAGCGAUUUGAUCUACGGGUGUGGGUCUGCGUGUCUACCGAUUUCCACAUGAAGAAGAUUGCAAAGCCGGUGAUAUCUGCAGCUGGAGAAAAUUGUGCUCUUGAUAACUCGGAUGCCGUCGCCAGUUGCCUUGUCAGGAUCUUUAGCCAGAAGAGAUUCUUGCUGGUGUUGGAUGAUGUGUGGAACGAAGAUAAAGGGAAGUGGAAGGAAUUGAAGGUUGUAUUUAAGGACGGCAGGCAGGGAAGUAAAAUCUUAGUAACCACACGAAGCGAAAAGGUCGCCGCGAUAAUGAAAACAGUCGAACCACACCGUGUGAAAGGCUUAUCAGAUGAUGAUUGUUGGACAUUGUUCAAAAGGCUGGCAUUCGAUGAGGGGGAAGAGAACGACUAUCCGAGUUUGGUCGCAAUCGGAAAGCAGAUAGUAAAGAAGUGCGGCGGCGUGCCUUUAGCAGCGAAUGCUUUAGGAAGUAUGAUGUAUUCAAAGAACAGGACAGAGGAUGCAUGGUCCGCUACUAGGGAUAACGAAAUUUGGAGUCUGCAAGAAGAGAAAACUAUUUUACCAUCAUUAAAGUUGAGCUACAUUCAGAUGCCGUCGGCUUUGAAGCAGUGCUUUGCUUACUGCUCCAUAUUCCCAAAAGACUACGAGAUUGACAAGGAUGACUUGAUCCGGCAAUGGAUUGCUUUAGGCUUCAUUUCAUCGCAUGAAACAUGGACUUCGAUGGAAGAUAUUGGGAAUGAGUACUUUAACAAUCUAUUAUGGAUGUCUUUCCUUCAGGACAAAGAAUAUAGAAAGGUUACCACCUGCCGGAUGCAUGAUUUAGUGCACGACCUCGCACAAUCUGUAGCAAGAGAAGAAGUUGCUGUUAUAGUUGGAGAAGAGUCAACAAGGAUCCCGGAAAGUUGCCGCUAUGUCUUGAUAUACAGUCGUUUCACGCCACAGGUUUCAAUUACCAUAAUGCGGAGGUUGCGAGCUCUUCAAUUUAGGGAAUCUGGCUCACUUAUUAUGGCUUUUUAUAGCGAGGCAAAAUGCUUACGCCUGUUGGAUUUACAUGGUUCCGAAAUUUCUAUGCUGCCAAGCUCAAUCGGUAAGUUGAAGCUCUUAAGAUACCUCAACCUUUCGUCAACCAAUGUACAAGAACUGCCUGAAUCAAUUACCAGCCUCUGCAACUUGCAAUCCUUGAAUCUUUCAGGCUGCCGUNAUUUACAUGGUUCCGAAAUUUCUAUGCUGCCAAGCUCAAUCGGUAAGUUGAAGCUCUUAAGAUACCUCAACCUUUCGUCAACCAAUGUACAAGAACUGCCUGAAUCAAUUACCAGCCUCUGCAACUUGCAAUCCUUGAAUCUUUCAGGCUGCCGUGAGAUCCGUACAUUACCCAAAUUUCUAGGAAGGCUUACGAAUUUGCGGAUUUUAGAUUUAAGCGAGUGCAGUUCUCUGACAAUACUUGACUCCAUUAGCAACCUUCAGAAUUUGUACACACUAGAUUUGAGUUGGUGCCAAAAGGUGAUAUCACUUGAACCUAUAUGUCACCUCAAAAACCUGCAUUACCUAGACCUAUCAAAUCUAGAAUCUUUGGUGGCAUUACCUGAAUCCAUUGGGAGCCUUCAAAAUUUGCGUAGUCUCAACCUUUCUAGCUGCUCUUCUCUAGAAUGGUUACCCUCAUCGUCAAGUGAUCUUCAGCAUUUAGAGAAACUCGACAUUAGUGGUUGUGGAAAAUUAUGUGAGCUGCCUAAAAUGAUCCAAAAGCUGACCAAACUUAGAGUCUUGUUAAACAACAAUUGCUCGGAAUUGAAGGGCAUGCCCCGAGGGAUCGGCAAGUUAGUUAGCUUGCAGGAAUUGUCCGUUUUUGUCGUCGGCAAGCAAGACCGCGUCGAACAUUGUGCCAGUAUCUGUGAGCUCGAGCACCUUAAGCUUGUUGGCGAGCUGGAGAUCAAGGGUCUUGAAAAUGUGACGAGUCCGGUUGAUGCCAAGGCUGCAAAUUUGAUAGAGAAGAAGCUGCGGUCUUUGAAGUUGGAAUGGAACGUUUUAAGUGCGGAAGAAGGCAUUGAUAGUACUGUACUACCGGCGGAAGAGAUCGAAACCGUGCUAGAAAAUCUUCAACCACAUCAAAAGCUAGAGAAUUUGGAAAUAGGAGGCUAUGGAGGCGGGAAGUUUUCUAGCUGGAUGAUGAACAGGAUUGGCUCGUGCCUGCCAAAUCUCGUUGGAAUCGAACUAGCGGAUAUGCCCGGAUGCAGCUCACUCCCGCAGCUGGGGCAACUUCCUUUUCUUGAACAACUGACUAUACAAAACAUGCCCGCGGUAACAAAUUUCAGCGUACAUAAGUUCCCUGCGCUGAAGACACUUGAGUUGUCCUCCAUGCCGGUGCUGCGAGAAUGGGUGACUGUGUUGACGAUGGAUGAUGAAGAAGGCAGGCGAGAGCGAGUUCCCAUUUUUCCGUGUCUCACUUAUUUGGGUCUAUAUGAAUGUCCUCAGUUGAGGCCGGAGCCUUGCCUCCCGCCAUCGGUUGAGCAUAUGGGCAUCUACAGAACAAGCAAGGAGAAUCUAUCGUUGAUACUCGAACGCGCGAUGCCAUUUGGAGGUGGUGAUGCCGCCGUUUCACCCCAACCGCCACCAGAUAAGGGGCUGCCGGGUCUAGGAAUAGUAGGAUGUCGGCAGCUAACUUGUUUGCCCGAGAGCUUGCGAAGUCUCACGUCUCUCCAGUCGCUGGGAAUAUAUGAUUGUGAAGAUCUCGAGAGAAUUGAAGAUUGGCUCGGGGAGCUCACCGAGCUGCGGUCCUUGUACAUCGAUGGGUGCAGCAGUCUCCAUUACUUGCCUGCGCACAAGAUGACCGCACUUCAGGAGUUAUGUAUUGGGAUUUGCCCGCUGUUGUUCGAUGCGGACGGACGAUUUGUCGACACUAGUGUCGAUCACAUAAAAAAUGUCGAAGUUGAUGGGAGGUAAUUACUUUGGAACUCUAACUACUCUUUAAUUAAUGAGCUAGCACCUUAAUAUUCUAUUGUAGCUAGCAUAAACAUCUGUUUUUUUUUUUUUUNAGCAGUUGAGAUCUAUGGCAAUGGUGACAACAAUGAAAAACAAAUGAGCUGUUGUCUCUAAUAAUAUAAUGAGAAUGCCAAUUUAAUUUUAAUUUAAAAUUAUAUAUUUAAUUUUUAAAUUUUAACUUAUAUUUUAAUUAAAAAAAGUUGAAAAAAUAAAUUUAAUCCGAAUAAAUAUAAUUCCGUACGGAUUCAACUUUUAAUCCGGCCUACUAGGCCGGAUUGAAAAAAGAGGUGAUUGGAGGAUUCUCAUUCCACUCGGGAAUCGGAAUCGGAAUGGGACUCCCACGUACCAAACACUCACAAACGGAUUUACUUAUUCCGAUUCCGAUUUCAAGGUAAAAAAGAAGCAAACCAAACACGCCCAAUAUAUUUAUCUUAUAUCAGCACAAACUUUUUACAAAAAAAUUUCAUUUGGUCGCUAAAAUUUAUAAUAUUUUAAUUUUUACUGUGUCAUAGUUAGAAACUUUUGUGUAAUUUUCAAAAAGUUGAGAGGGUCCAUGACCAUUGUCGGCCUCUCAAUAGCUCUUCCCCUGUUCUGGAUUCAGCAAAGCAUCCUGAGAGGGGAUUGAUACGAGUUUGCUAGAUUGUUAAAUAUAAAUAUAUAAAAAUAUCAUUCUUUACGAGAUUAAUUACUUUUUGAAAAAAAAAAUGAUUAUUUCGUAUUAUUUAACAUCGUAUCAAAGUAGAAAAUUCUGAGUUCGAGUCACGUCAGACUUCUAGCCUAAUUGAUUUUUUCUCUCAGUUAAUUUAAGUCCACAUCGAGCUCAAACGUGAGAAAAAAUAUUAAAUAUAAAAAUAUUAUUAUCUAUCACUUUAAAUUUUUUGAGAAAACGAUUGUUUCGUAUUGUUUAACAUAGAUUGGAGCCAAAUAUAUAGCUAAACAAGUGGCGUGGGUCAAUCCAUAAAAAUCUCUAUAGAUGAUGCUGUAGGUAAGUUCUCUAAAACUUGCAAUUUAUCUGAAACAAAAAGAGAUGAUGUAUCACGUUCAGAAGUAUGUAACAGUGAGGAUUGCAGCAGGCUGUAGGCGAUUUGGUUAUGAGCAACUACAAUUAAACUAUGGCUGGCAUACAUUUAUUUAAUUACAUUUUACAUGUGCACUUAUAGAUAGCAUGCUGUUGUAACUUCCACAUAUUUAUCUUUUUCCUGGAGUGUAGAAUUAUGCUGAGACUUGUGAUCUUUGCACUAUUUUAUAAAGUGCAGGUUUACGUCUGUUUCCAUUUCAAAAAAAUUAUAUAUUUCUUUUUGGUUAAAUUACAUAAAGUGACCUGCACUAUACUGGCGUAUGAAAUUACCCCCCUCCACCCAUCCCUCUGUCAACUUUUAUUUUCUCAUUUAUAUUUAUUUGUCUUAUUUAGACGGUAGACCCCUGUAUAUGUUAAUAACAAGGUUAUUUUACUGAUCGUUUCUAACGCAAGUAGCAAAAAAUUUAGUGGUUGAUAAUCAAGAUUCUAAAUUUGAAUCCUAGUUGAUUCAUAUCUCUAGCUAAGUUUAUUUCUAAAUGAAAUAAACGAAACAGUAGAAUAGCAGUUGAGAUCUAUGGCAAUGGUGACAGCGACGAAAAACAAAUAAGCUCUUGUCUCUAAUAAUAUAAUGAGAAUGUCAACAGAUACAAAAGAAAUCUAAGUUUUUUUAUUCUAGUUUAUGACCGAUUUUGAAAAAAGAUUCCAAUGGCAUCUCUAGUUUAUAAUUUUAUAUACAUUUGAGGUAAUUAGGUGUACUAAAAAUUUCUAUAUUUUUGGCUGACGGGAUCUAAUUUUUUUUAAAAAAUGAUAGUAUAAAGAGGUGUAAAUUAACUAAGAAAAUAAUUUUUUAUGGCAAUUAAGAAAAUCAAUGCUAAUUAGAAAAAGGCGGUUUUGAACUGUGGUGCAGUGCUGCAUAGAGAUGUCAACGGGUCGGAUUCGAGGCGGAUUUUUAAAAACCCGAACCUGAACCCGACUCCAAAUCCGAGACCCGAAUCCGAACCCGAAUCCAACGGAUUUUAAAAAUUCAUAUCCAAACCUGAACCCGACCAAAAAUCCGAAACCCGAACCCGAAUCCGAACCCGAACCCGAAAAUUUGAACCCAAAAUAAUAAAUUUUUUUUUCAAUAUUUCAAAAUAUAUUAUAUUAAAUCUAAAUUUUUAAAAUACAAAUUCAAAUAUAACAUCAAAUUUAUAUAUAUAUAUUAUAUAUAAUACAAAAUAAAUUCGGGUUCGGGUCGGAUUUGGGUUCGGAUUCGGGUUAGGUACAAUCAAAAUCCAUAUCCGAAUCCAUAUCCGUCGGAUUUCUAUUUUUUAUAUCCAUAUCCAUCGGAUAUAUCCGUUUCAUUCGGAUUCGGAUUCGGAUAAAAUUUCGGAUAUUCAUACCCAUUGACAUCCCUAGUGCUGCAGUGGUCCAACUCUCCAUACUUUUUUUUUUCUCUUUUUUGGGCAAUCAAAAUUUAUACAUAUCAAUUCUUCACAUAUAAUAGUAUCUUAGAAUAUUAUCGUGGGGUGAAAAUCAUUUUACUCAAUCUGAUCCCACUCUGAAGCCGAAGAUUGUCGGAUUUGGAGUGAAAUUUUACUAUCCAUUACGGAUUCAGAUUCAAAUCUGAAAUUUGAAUUUUUUUUUUGAGUUCAAAUUAAAGAUUCACUAUUUCUUUUUAAAUUCGAAUUCUAAAUUAUUGGAAACCAAAACUGAUUUUGACCGCUUUUUUAAUUUCUGAAGUAAUACCAUUUAAGCAUCUUUCAGAAAUCUCAAGCAUUCAUUGCGUUUUCUUCAGUUGGAUGAGAAAAUAAUAAUAAUAAUAAUAAUAAUAAUAAUAAGGGCGGCUCUCCUUUUCUGCCGCUUCAUUUUUUAAAAAUGGACACAGAAACGACAAGAUCCAAAGAGCAAAUUUGAAACUGAUAAUAUUUUUUAUAUUCUGCACAAUAGGAUAAGGACGAUUGAGGGACUAGCAUAUGCAAAAGAUCAAAGAUUCCCGGCGUAAUUAUCGAAGCAACAGCACAAUAAUUAAUUGGAGCGAUCACCUACUACCACUGCAGAGCAUCCCCCCUUAUUCUCUGCCUCCCUGCAGUAGGACGGUUGUAUUGAGAAGAAGCACAUAGCUGCUGUCGUAGGUAGCAGCACGCGCGAUGGCGGAGGGGAUUGCAUUCGAUCUGGUCAAAGGAGUGCUCGGCAAACUGGGCUCAACUCUCUGGGACGAAAUCGGACUGCUGCGGAGCUUCAAGAACGACGCGGACGAUCUCAGAAGCAACUUCUCGGCGAUCCAGGCGGUGCUUCUCGACGCCGAGGAGCGGAGCAGCGCUGGGAAGGAGAGCCACGCUCUGCGCGACUGGCUGCGCAAACUGAAGGACGCCGCCUACGACGCCGACGACCUGCUGGACGAGAUCCGGACGCAAGCGGCCCUCCGGCAACAGCAGUAUCCCGAGGUGCUGAAUCAACACCAGCCAGCUGGAAAGGUACGUGAAUUUCUGUCCCGGGCUAAUCCGAUGCAUCUGAAGUUUAAGCGCAAGAUGGCACACAGGAUGAAAGAGCUCAGAGAAAAGAUCGGUAAGAUCGCGAAACAGAGGCAUGAUUUUGGUCUUGCCGAAGCUGGCCCUCUUCGACAGGCUGAAUUCAAGCGCCCUGAGACAUUCUCGAUCGUCGACGAAAAGACAAUAGUCGGGAGAGAUGAUGAUAAAGAGAAAAUUGUGAAGCUUCUCCUUGAGACCAGCAGCGAUCACGACGUGUCGAUCAUUCCGAUCGUGGGAUUGGGGGGUUUGGGGAAGACGACACUCGCUCAGCUGGCCUUCAACGACGGGCAGGUUACAGGCCAGCAGCGCUUCGAUUUACGGGCGUGGGUCUGCGUGUCUACCGAUUUCGACAUGAAGAUGAUUGCAAAGCCGGUGAUAUCUGCAGCUGGAGAGAAUUGUGCUCUUGAUAACUCGGAUGCCGUCGCCAGUUGCCUUGUCAGUAUCUUCAGCCAGAAGAGAUUUUUGCUGGUGCUGGAUGAUGUAUGGAAUGAAGAUCAGGAAAGGUGGGAGAAAUUGAAGGUUUUAUUUAAGGACGGUAAGCAAGGAAGUAAAAUCUUAGUGACCACACGGAGCGAAAAGGUUGCCGAGAUAAUGAAAACAGUCGAGCCGCACCGUGUGAAAGGCUUAUCAGAUGAUGAUUGUUGGACAUUGUUCAAAAGGCGGGCAUUCAAGGAAGGGGAAGAGAAUGACUAUCCGAGCUUGGUCGAAAUCGGAAAGCAGAUAGUAAAGAAGUGUGGUGGCUUGCCUUUAGCAGCAAAUGCUUUAGGAAGUAUGAUGCGCUUUAAGAGCAGAACGGAGGAUGCAUGGUCCGCUAUUAGAGAUAGCGAAAUAUGGAGAUUGGAAAAAGAGGAAACUAUUUUACCAUCAUUGAAAUUGAGCUACAUUCAGAUGCCGUCGGCUUUGAAGCAGUGCUUCGCUUACUGCUCCAUAUUCCCCAAAGACUAUGAGAUUGACAAGGAUGACUUGAUCCGGCAAUGGAUUGCUUUAGGCUUCAUUUCAUCGCAUGAAACAUGGACUUCGAUGGAAGAUAUUGGGAAUGAGUACCUUAACGAUCUAUUAUGGAUGUCUUUUCUUCAAGAUGUGUGGGAAUAUUAUAGAAAGGGUACCACCUGCCGUAUGCAUGAUUUAGUGCACGACCUCGCACAAUCUGUAGCAAGAGAAGAAGUUGCUGUUAUAGGUGCAGAAGAGUCAACGAGGAUCCCGGAAAGUUGCCGCUAUGUCUCGAUAUACAGUCGUUUCACGCCACAGCUGGUUUCAAGUACCGUAAUGCAGAGGUUGCGAGCUCUUCAAUUUAGGGAAUCUGGUUCACCUACUAUGAAUUUUUAUAGCGAGGCAAAAUGGUUACGCCUGUUGGAUUUACAUGAUUCCAAAAUUUCUAUGUUGCCAAGCUCAAUCAGUAAGUUGAAGCUCCUAAGAUACCUCAACCUUUCGGAGAACAGUAUACAAGAAUUGCCUGAAUCAAUUACCAGCCUCUGCAACUUGCAAACCUUGAAUCUUUCAGGCUGCCAAAAGAUCCGUACAUUACCCAAAUUUCUAGGAAGGCUUACGAAUUUGCGGAAUUUAGAUUUAAGCGACUGCAGUUCUCUGACAAUACCUGACUCCAUUAGCAACCUUCAGAAUUUGUACGCACUAAAUUUGAGUUCGUGCGAAAAUGUGAUAUCACUUGAACCUAUAUGUCACCUCAAAAACCUUCAUUACCUAAACCUAUCAGAUCUAAUGUUUAUGGAGACUUUACCAAAAUCCAUUGAGAGCCUUCAAAACUUGCGUACUCUGAAUCUUUCUAACUGCAUUUCUCUGCUAUCAUUACCCUCAUCAUUAUGUGAUCUCAAAAACCUGCAUGACUUAAACCUAUCACGUCUAAAAUCUUUGGUGACAUUACCUGAAUCCAUUGGAAGCCUUCAAAACUUGCGUAUUCUGAACGUUUCUGAAUGCUCUUCUCUAGAAUCAUUACCCUUAUCGUCAAGUGAUCUUCAGCAUUUAGAGAAACUCGACAUCAGGGGUUGUAAAAAAUUAUGUGAGCUGCCCAAAAUGAUCCAAAAGCUGACCAAACUUAGGGUCUUGUUAAACAACGAGUGCUCAGAAUUGAAGGGCAUGCCCCGAGGGAUCAGCAAGUUAGUUAGCUUGCAGGAAUUGUCUGUUUUUGUGGUCGGCAAGCAAGACCGCGUCGAACAUUGUGCCAGCAUCUCUGAGCUCGAGCACCUUAAGCUUGUCGGCGAGCUGGAGAUCAAGGGUCUUGAAAAUGUGACGAGUCCGGUUGACGCCAAGGCUGCAAAUUUGAUAGAGAAGAACCUGCGGUCUUUGAAGUUGAAAUGGAACGUUUUAAGUGCGGAAGAAGGCAUGGACAGUACUGUACUACCGGCGGAAGAGAUCGAAACCGUGCUAGAAAAUCUUCAACCACAUCAGAAGCUAGAGGAAUUGGAAAUAGAAGGCUACGGAGGCGGGAAGUUUCCUAGCUGGAUGAUGAAUAGGAUUGGCUCGUGCCUCCCAAAUCUCGUUAAAAUCAAACUUGAGAAUAUGCCCGGGUGCAGCUCACUCCCGCCGCUGGGGCAACUCCCUUUUCUUAAAGCACUAACUAUACGAAAUAUGCCCGCGGUAACAAAUUUGGGCGUAGAUAAGUUCCCUGCGCUGAUGAGACUUAACUUGUCCUCCAUGCCGGUGCUGCGAGAAUGGGUGACUGUGUUGACGGUGGAUGACGAAGAAGGCAGGCGAGAGCGAGUUCCCAUUUUUCCGUGUCUCACUCAAUUGUACCUUAAAGAAUGCCCUAAAUUGAGGCCGGAGCCUUGCCUCCCGCCAUCGGUUUUGCAUAUGGGCAUCUCUAGAACAAGCAGCGAGAACCUAUCGUUGAUUUUCGAACGCGCGAUGCCACUUGGUGAUGGUGAUGGUGAUGGUGAUGGUGAUGGUGAUGCCGCCGUUUCACCCCAACCGCCACCGAAUAAGGGGCUGCGGAGUCUACAAAUAGGAGGAUGUCAGCAGCUAACUUGUUUGCCCGAGAGCUUGCGGAGUCUCACGUCUCUCCAGCGGCUGAUAAUAUCUGAUUGUGAAGAUCUUGAGAGAAUUGAAGAUUGGUUUGGGGAGCUCUCCGACCUGCGGUCCUUGAUCAUCCAGGGGUGCAGCAGUCUCCGUUACUUGCCUGCCCACAAGAUGACCGCACUUAAGAGGUUACAUAUUGAUGGUUACCCGCUGUUGUUCGAUGCAGAUGGAAGGUAAUUAAUUUGCAACUCUGGCUACUCUUUAUUUAGCUGGCUAGCACCUUAAUAUUCUAUCGUCGCUAGCAUAUAAACCUCUCUUCUUCUUCUUCCUUUUUUUUUUUUCUAAAUAUUCGGAUGGAAAACUUUCAAUUAGCCCCACCGCACGUGAUUCGGAGCAUUUUCAUUUGCUAUGAAAUAUUUCAUUUUGCUAUUUUAAUUUAUAGUUGUGUUUUUAUUUUCUUGCAAAAAUCUUCUACAAAAAAGAAAAAAAAAAAUUAAAGUGCUAAAAUAUAUGAAUUAUAAGACAGUCAAGUAAUUUAUUUUACAAACCACAUAGGGACUAUGUGAAAUAAAUAAAUAAAUAAAUAAAUAAAUAAAUAAAUAUAUAUAUAUUAUAGUAUUUUAUGAUUUAUAAAUUUUAGCACUUUAAAUAGUUUUACUUUAAAAUCUUGUGGUUAUUCCUUUUCUUUGUAUCAUCGUAAGAAUUUGCCGUCAAGUAAAUGUAUUAAAGUGCUAAAAUUUAUAAAUCAUGGGAUAGUAAAGUGAUACAUUUUAUGAAACAAAAGGUAGCCGCCUGUAUCUAUAUAUAUUUUUUCACAUAGCACUCUAUGGUUUAUAAACUAUAUUCCUUUACUACUCUAUAAUUCAAAAUUUCUAGCACUUCAAUAUUCUUUGGUAGUAGGUCCUUACGGUAAAAUAAAGACGCAAUAAUAAAGUAGCAANGGUUUUCUGGAAAAAAUUUCAAGUGGUCUCUUGCAUGUACAUAGACUAAUUAAUGAAAUUUUAACCUUUUCUUAAUUUGUAGCGAUUUGAGAUGCUAAAAAAUUUCUACUUGAACGAUAUAUAGUAUUUACAAAGUAACUAUUUUCGGUCAUAUUGUUGAUAUACUAUUCGAGUCCUAGGAUAUUUUUUUUUACAAAUUGAAAUCAGGUAUGUUAUAUAUCAUACGUUAUUAGAAAGUCUAAGCAAAAUAUACAACACAUAUAUACUGCACGAGUGUCGAAUAAAAAAGUAACCUUUUUGUGUUGUUGUGGUGUAGAAAAUACCCGUACAAGGAACAAGCGAGCAGCUCGUCACAUGUGGAAGAGAGCUCACCGAAGGAGGAGGAGGAGAAGAAGAUUGGUUAGCGAGGAGAGCAUAAGUAUAUGUAUCUCUUAUUUGGAGUUAAAAGAUAUUAGAUAUUAGAUAAAUUAUACUGCACUUUGAAAGCGGCCAAUUGGGCUUUACGAAUUUCGAUUUUAAUUUGAUUUUGAUAUAAGAAAUUUUCUUUGAAAGAUUUGUUAGAUCCUUUUAGAAUUUAGUCUCUUCCGUUAAACAAAGUACAGAAUGUUUCAUAAAAUAAAAAAAAAUUUUAUCAAAUUUUAAAAUAUUUUAUCAAAAAACAUUAAGUAUCCUUUCGAAUUCUCUAAGGAACAUAAUAAACACUGCGGAAAGUUAGAGAGUAGAAUUAAAUUUUUAAAGUUCAGUUAUUUAUCUCAAAGCGUAGUGUAGCUCACGUAAGAAUCAUUAUCUUUUAGCUUAUUUGGUGAUCAGUAUUCCCCUUUGAGAAGAGUUUUUUUUUCCCCUUUGUUUUGCCAAAAAUAAACAAAUUUUAUAUAUCUACAUGCAAUGGUGAGAGUUUUUAUUCAUGGACUUGGGGCCUUCUCUUUCAGGUUUGUGCUAUUUAGCUUUCCGGACAAGAAUUGUAGUGUGCUGUUGUCGGAUUAAUAUAUAUUUGUCUUUUCGUGAUAUAAAUUGAGUUUCUGAAUGUACUAUUUUAUAAUUUGGUUUGAUUGUUGGUAAUUUUAUGGUGUUCUAUGUAUAUGUUAUGGGCUUGAAAAAGGUUGUUUGGUUUGAAUAAACAAAAUGUUGCUACUUUUUUUAAUAC
Molecule: long non-coding RNA, 18680 nt
Filed under: Ananas comosus (pineapple)
Lineage: Eukaryota; Viridiplantae; Streptophyta; Magnoliopsida; Poales; Bromeliaceae
Description: long non-coding RNA (ACOM_LNC007764)
Source: RNAcentral